This 811-nucleotide unclassified non-coding RNA is filed under the name Hevea brasiliensis (rubber tree). Lineage: Eukaryota; Viridiplantae; Streptophyta; Magnoliopsida; Malpighiales; Euphorbiaceae. The record is from RNAcentral.
AGUUGCUGAUUGUGAACCUUCAAGCUCAAGAUGACCUUGGUAGUGAGACUGGCCUGUUUCAUCCUCCAACAACCAAGGCCUAUUCUUAUACUGCUCCAGCAAAGCACCCUUAAGUUGCUGUCCUCGUAGUCCUUUAUGGAGAAACCAUUUAUUCUUUGAAUCUUUCCCCUUCGGAAAAUUUGGCAACCCUGUCUGGAAUCUACCAAUAAAGUAGUUCUAGUUGCUAACAGGACUUGACCGAAUAUUACAUUCCUCAAAAGAAGAAGGAGAAGAAGGCAAACUCGAAUCAAAUGGGUAAUGGAGGCGCCACAGUCAUCGCAUUUGGCAAGAUUCUUGGCCAUGUUUUCGCCACAAGUGACGCAAAGAGUCAAGUGCAUACAGUUGGUUUCAUACAAUUUAGUAAACGUUCCACAUUCACUACAAGAACGAUUCAACAGAAGAUUCAACGACAUUUUUAUCCUCCACCUUCAAAACAAACAUCAAAAUUUUCCUAAAGGAACUGAAUAUUAAUUGAUUGAAUUGUGAAGUCGCGAAUUAGGGGGGAAAAAUUAUUUGACCUGCUGAGUAUUUAUAUGUGAAAAUGGUAUGCUCUUUGUUGCUUGCUGGGUUCGGUAGGUACACGCACAACUGCUGCUUCAACUGUUUUUGAUACAUUUUCGUUUGUCCUGCUGCUUUGGCCUUGGAGGCAGUGGGGGUGGCGAUGGUCCAGUUUCGAACCGCAACUGGUUGGAUCAAAAUCGGAUUGAAACCUGAUCAUAAUGGAACAGCUUCGAAUCAGAUCAAAAUCACUUUCUGCGAUUUUUUGGUUCAG